CCUACGGGCGGCAGCAGUGGGGAAUAUUGCACAAUGGGGGAAACCCUGAUGCAGCAACGCCGCGUGAGUGAAGACGUAUUUCGGUAUGUAAAGCUCUUUCAGCAGGGAAGCAAAUGACACUACCUGUCUAAGAAGCCCCGGCUAACUACGUGCCAGCCGCCGCGGUAAUACGUAGGGGGCAAGCGUUAUCCGGAUUUACUGGGUGUAAAGGGGGCGUAGGCGGGUGCGCAAGUCAGACGGGAAAGCCCCGGGCUCAACCGCGGGACUGCUUUUGAAACUGUGUAGCUAGAGUGCAGGAGAGGUAAGUGGAAUUCCUAGUGUAGCGGUGAAAUGCGUAGAUAUUAGGAGGAACACCGGUGGCGAAGGCGGCGUACUGAACUGUAACUGACGUUGAGGCACGAAAGCGUGGGGAGCAAACAGGAUUAGAUACCCCUGUAGUC
Molecule: ribosomal RNA, 440 nt
Filed under: uncultured bacterium
Lineage: Bacteria
Description: partial 16S ribosomal RNA
Rfam family: Bacterial small subunit ribosomal RNA
Source: RNAcentral